Molecule: ribosomal RNA, 253 nt
Filed under: uncultured bacterium
Lineage: Bacteria
Description: partial 16S ribosomal RNA
Rfam family: Bacterial small subunit ribosomal RNA
Source: RNAcentral
UACGUAGGGGGCGAGCGUUGUCCGGAAUCAUUGGGCGUAAAGCGCGUGUAGGCGGCUUGGUAAGUCCGCUCUGAAAGCCCGGGGCUCAACCCCGGGAGGCGGGUGGAUACUGUCAAGCUCGAGCCCGGAAGAGGCGAGUGGAAUUCCUGGUGUAGCGGUGAAAUGCGCAGAUAUCAGGAGGAACACCAAUGGCGAAGGCAGCUCGCUGGGACGUGACUGACGCUGAGACGCGAAAGCGUGGGGAGCAAACAGG